UAGUCACCUUAGUCGGGCGGCCAUUCUCAUCAGCUCCUAGGCAUUGCAAAAUUCUAACACUACGAUUGUAAAAACUGGCUUCUGCAACAUUGGUUGUGGGGAGAAAUGGUCAUGACUCAGCCUACACCAUCUCCCGAAAUCCUAGUUCCAUGGCUCUUACCUCGUGGUAGAUAGCAACUUAUUGGUGUACAGUGGAUAAUAUAGACAGACUUUGAUUGAUCCAAUCUCUACCAAGCAACGCUCCAUAAGUAGAGCUACUAUUCACCACAAAGAAAGCUAACAUAAUUUGCUUAAACCCCAAGUCAACCUCUAAAGGCAAUAUCCCAUAGGUUCUAGUGAUAGCUCCAGAAAAACUGGAGACUAUAAGGUCAGUAGGGAUAAGGUCAUCCUCACUUCUACACAAUUUGUUCAUUUGUUUGAUUGGGAGCACAUUCACCGCUUGAUAGGAGCAUAUUUAUGCAACUUAGUUAGCUUGUUUCUUGGCAUUUAUGUUGUUAGUUCGUAGUUAUUUUAGUAUUUUAAGCUAUUUUCGUGUGUUUGUAGGUCCAAAGGGUUAAUGUGGCAAAGAAGUGCAUUUUGGAGCAUUUUGGAGUAUUUUUGGGCAUGGAAUGGAUAGCAUAUGCUUGGAGCA
RNAcentral lists this long non-coding RNA (631 nucleotides) under Malus domestica (apple). RNAcentral describes it as "long non-coding RNA (MDOM_LNC013497)". The record is from RNAcentral. Lineage: Eukaryota; Viridiplantae; Streptophyta; Magnoliopsida; Rosales; Rosaceae.